This 450-nucleotide ribosomal RNA is filed under the name Zoogloea sp. D9. RNAcentral's name for it is "bacterial SSU rRNA". It matches the Rfam family "Bacterial small subunit ribosomal RNA", at positions 1 to 458 of the family's 1533-position model. The record is from RNAcentral. Lineage: Bacteria; Pseudomonadati; Pseudomonadota; Betaproteobacteria; Rhodocyclales; Zoogloeaceae.
CUUAGAGUUUGAUGCCUGGCUCAGAUUGAACGCUGGCGGCAUGCCUUACACAUGCAAGUCGAACGGCAGCGCGGGGCAACCUGGCGGCGAGUGGCGAACGGGUGAGUAAUAUAUCGGAACAUACCCUAGAGUGGGGGAUAACGUAGCGAAAGUUACGCUAAUACCGCAUACGCACUAAGGUGGAAAGNGGGGGAUCGCAAGACCUCNUGCUCAUGGAGUGGCCGAUAUCUGAUUAGCUAGUUGGUAGGGUAAAAGCCUACCAAGGCGACGAUCAGUAGCUGGUUUGAGAGAACGACCAGCCACACUGGAACUGAGACACGGUCCAGACUCCUACGGGAGGCAGCAGUGGGGAAUUUUGGACAAUGGGGGCAACCCUGAUCCAGCAAUGCCGCGUGAGUGAAGAAGGCCUUCGGGUUGUAAAGCUCUUUUGUCAGGGAAGAAACGGANGUU